UCAUCUCUCCACUCUCUCACUCUCCGCCAUAAAAUCUCAUUACAAUGUGAGUAUCACCGAUCUCCUUACUCCUCCAUGGCCAAAUCCUCAAGGGGCUACCCUCCAUUGUUACCAUCGAAACCAAUCGAAUUCAAACACAAACCACUACUACUCAAAAUCAAACACCCAACCCCAAUUAAUUUUGACUCCGACUGAAUCAAACCCUUCAAACGAAUCUCGAAUCACCCAUUUUUAUGAAAAUUCUCUGAUUUUUUUAACCAAGGUAUGAAUUGAUGCUUCCUUUUUGGGGUUCUAUGGAGCAAAAUUCUUUUCACUUUCUUAGUUAGAUAUUAUGAUUCUAUCUUGUAUUUCUUUCAAUUCUAUCUCUAUUAAUGUUUAUUUUGGUCUUUAUUAAGGGGAUUGGGGAUUGAAACUACAUUAAAGAGUUAGUUUGAUCAAGGUGGAAGAGUGUGUAAAUUGACUGGAAACUACAUCGGAGGAAUUGCAACUGGGUAAGUAUUAAUGUUUCUUCAAUUUUGAUGCUUUGUUUCAGAUCUUUUUGAAGUGUAACUUGGUUGCUUCUUUGAUGAAAAUGUUUGUCCUUUCAUAAAGACAAUAGAUACUUAUUUAUUCAAAUCUUUAUUUAGAUGUUAGAAAAUUGAAUUAAACAAGAAGCAAUUUGUAGCCAGGUUGAACCAACAACUUGAAUAGGGAUUCUUCUUCAUGUUCUUUUUUCACUUGAAACUUUUAUAGUACUUCUUAAUGUUAGUGUAUGCGCUUUUAGGUCAAGAGGAAUUCUGCAUUCUAAGCUAUUUCAAAGUCGAAACGUUGUUACGGAAACUUUGAAUCUUGCAAGCUAAAGAAUUUUGCAUCUACAUUGGCUUGAAAACAUAAUACGAUUAGGAAUAAAAUAAGAGCUUUGUUUAGUGGGAUAUUUUGAUUAUAUUUGAAAGUUAAUUUUGUUGAAACCUUUCAAAUUGGAAAUGAUUAACAUGUCUCAGAAGUCGAGUCAUCCAAUUAUAAAAUAUCAGUUUAUCUCAUAAACAUUGAUAUGUUGUACUAGAGGCCUUGAACUUCUCUUUUGCAACUUGUCAAUCAAUGCAAACUUCUCCUAGAUGAAACAUAUGUAUCUUUAAAUUUAUAGCUCUCUAAUUUCUAUUUUUGCACUCCUCAGUUUUAGACUUCUUUAGUUGACAAUUGUUGUUUUCUUGGUUUUUGAAGGUAUAUCUAAAUGUCUCGCUGCUAUAUGGUUUCUGAGAUAACAAAAGGUUGACUAUUAAGUUAGGUAUUGUAUCUCCAACACAUUUGAAAUGAUAGAUCAAAAAAGACUUUGAAUUUUGAAGUUCCGAAAUGGAUUUAUAUGUCAUUAUUUAUUGUAGAGAAACUAGAAACUAUUGUUUUACGAAGGGGAAGAGCUUGUAAAUAAGUUGGCAAAGUUGGAAAGGGAUGUCAAAGAAUGAGAAGGCGCAAGAAUUGACUCUGCGACAUUUUUAAAAACUGUAAGCUCUUGAACUCUUUUUGAUAAUUUUUAUCCUAAAUAGCAGUAGAUUUCUUAAUAUUUGUUUAGGGUACUUCAUUUUUGCAACUGGUUGUUGAAAUAAAUCUCUUAUAUCUCAACCGCUUGCUGAUUAUUUGAUUUUUAUGGCUCUCAUUGUUAAUAUUGUCUUUGUGAAUUAUGUUGUUCCUCUCUUUUAUAAUUGAAGAUAUUGAGAGUGGUAAUCAAACUUGUUAUAAAUUGUAUCUCACAAUCUUUUCUUUGAUCUCAUAUGAACAGUUCUCCUUUGCACUUUAUCGGGUGUGGUUCUCCUUGUAGAAAAUUGAUAUGUUUAUAACAUGUGACCGAUAAAAACAACUUUAGUACACUGGAUAGACAACAUGCAAAACUAUAAGUUACCUAUUAGAGAUACUGCUUCUCCUCCCUUCAAAUCUAUUGUCCGAAACUUUAAUUUUAUCCAAUUUCUAUUGUAUAACUAAAAAGAAUAUUUCAGGAAGUUCCUUCAAGUAUAAGAACACUCAGUUAUUACAAGUGUUAUUCGACAACUUUGAGUUAACAAUGCAUAAUACAUGUGCACAAAGGAUAUGGGAGUUUUCCUUGCUUAAUGUUUGAGUACAUUUUCUUUUUGAUACACGAGAAUGAAAUUCAAGCAUAAAUCUGAUUAUAAUCUAACAAACACUAUAUUAUUUUUGUUUUUCCAAAUCUAAAGGCAAUUCCUGCUAUGGGACUAUAAGAGUUGUAAACAUCUAUUUCACAAUUUUUCUUUGUUUCAUUUAGAAGAAAACUUUGAAUCUUUAGCACAUGAAAUUAGUAUUUAUGCGAUACUUGUAAUGUAACAAAAUAUGCUUCAAACUAUUCGGUGUAUGUCUAUACAAAAGGCUAUCAAUCACUUAAUGCUAUUAACUUUUUGUCCAUUAUCAUUGUGAGUUUCACCCACACAAGUGAAAUGCUUCAAUUUAAUGGUUAGUCUGAGGUAAAAUAUGUUUCUGACGUCUUGGUUGAAUUUAUAAUGCUUUUAAAAUAUUUUUUUCCACAGUACAAUUGUCUUUAAUGUAAAAUGUAGACAUGGUUAGCAUUUUGAGAUGAAACCUUUUUAUUUUGAUGUUGAUGCUAUAUACUUAUAUUCAUAGAAGACUUAUCAAUGAGAGACUUGAUUAUAUCUCAAAACUUCACACCUUUCUUGGCCAUGACUUCAAAAUUAUUGGAUAGAAGUGUUUUUUGGGCAUGCAGUGAUAAAAGAGAAGAAUAAACAUAAAGCUUGAUUUAGUGUCUUUACACAAAAAAGUAACACAUCUUUUAAUUCUAUAGUUAUAUUUCUAAAUCUUUUAAAAUGACUUGAUUUAACAUUUUAGUUUGUUUUCACAUAAUAAAAGAAAAUUUUGGAUAUCAAAAUUUGAUCUGACUUCAUGCUUGCCAUAAGAAAAUGUAGGCAAUAAUAAGUUAUAAGUAUUGAACAUUGUCUUGGGAUAGAAUGUUUGGUUACUCUACUAUACAACUACAUCAAUGAGUUUGUCUUUGAACACAAAUUUGAUGACCUUAUUUAACAAGAAAGUGAUGAGAUUAAGAGACUAUUUGAUUUAGCUAAGUGUUUGUUGAUAAUAAUAGCAGUUUGUAGUUAUAUUUAUAAAAAAAAACCGUAAAGCACAACUUUACCCUUGGUCAUUCCACUCUUCAUGUUUCUAUAUAGUAGAAAAGUCCUCUGUUAAACUUUACUAGCCUGUGCAAAUUCUAUACUUAUAAACUAAAUUUCUGAAAUAGUUUAUAUCCAUAUUUUUGAAAAAUAGUAACCUGACAUGAUACCUUAGUCACAGGGAUUAUCAGAGAGUUUCAUUUUAUUGUUGAGUUAGACAUAUCAUGUAAAUUACACUUCGACAAAGAUACUAUAAUCUUAUGUAGCCAUAUUCUUUUUAUUUGAUAAGUUGAAAGUCAUGUAAGUGAAUCUUUUCGUUGGAUCUAGAUAUGCGAGCUAUAUUUAUACUAUAUAGAACGAUGAGAUUAGUUACAUGUUUGUUAAAAGUUAAUAAUUUCAUAAUGAGGGCAUUUAGACUUAUACUACGUGUCUUUUUAGAUGCGCAGAGUAAGAAUGUAGAUAUGAGCUCUUUUGGAGUAUGAUGCGUCUGCUCGGCAUUUUAUAGAAACAAAAGGACUUUCACCAACUCUUGAUUUUUAAUGGAUAAUCUAGAAAAUUGUUGGAAGGUAAGAACUGUAGCUUUAGUAAAUAAAUCUUUUUUGUCCAUGUCUUAUUAUGUUUCUAAUAUUUGAAUCUUGUUUUGUGUUGGUGUCUUCACUGUUUCUUAUUUCUCUUCGAGUGUAUUUUUAUGAACUGAUUUUAUUUUCAAGUUUUUAUUCCUUCCAUGAAAUAUUAAAGUUGGAGUAAGUAGUUCGCGUUGAAUGAAAGAAAUUUUUCAGCUUAUCAAGACAACUGCAGCCACUUAAGGAUAUCAACUUCUAUUCUUUUGGAAUAUACAGAGAGCAUCUGCUCAAAUUUACUGGUAAUGAUUCGAGGCAUUAAUAGAUUUUAGAAAAUGAAUUUUGUCAUAUUUGAUGCGCUAUCAACUUCUAUUCUAAUGAGAAAUACAGGGAGCAUUUGCUCGAAGUUAUCAUUCGGAAAAUUUGAUGUUGUUUCUAAUAUACUCAGUCUGAUCCCACAAGUUGGGAAUGUGGAGGGUGGGGCGUACGCAGAUCUUACCUCUAUUUUUGAUGUUGUUUCCGGUAGAUCCUCAGCUAAAAAAAAGCAUUUUUAAGAACAG
This 4224-nucleotide long non-coding RNA is filed under the name Solanum tuberosum (potato). RNAcentral's name for it is "long non-coding RNA (STUB_LNC010678)". Lineage: Eukaryota; Viridiplantae; Streptophyta; Magnoliopsida; Solanales; Solanaceae. The record is from RNAcentral.